This 1260-nucleotide ribosomal RNA is filed under the name Coleoptera sp. ACP-2013. RNAcentral describes it as "16S ribosomal RNA". The stretch from base 1017 to 1175 matches the Rfam family "Archaeal large subunit ribosomal RNA", at positions 2544 to 2703 of the family's 2987-position model. Lineage: Eukaryota; Metazoa; Arthropoda; Insecta; Coleoptera. The record is from RNAcentral.
UUUGAUUAUAAUUAAUUAUUAAUAAUUUAUUUUUUCUUAAUUUUAAAAUAAAAAUAUUUUUUUAUUAGUAUAAUUUUUAAAAUAUUAAAUUUAUUAUAGUUUAUUAGUAUUGAAAAAGAAAUUUUUUAUAAUAAUAUAAGAAAAUAUAAUUUUUUGUACCUUGUGUAUUAGGGCUUAUCAAUUUCUUUACUUAUUGUUAAAUUCUCGAAUUAGAAAGAUUUAAUUUUAUAUAAAUUUUAUUGUAAAAUAAAUAUUUUAUAUAUAAUUUUAGUAAUGAAACGUUAUUCGUUUUUUAUAUAUCUAGUUAUAAAAGAAAUUUAUUUAAUAAAGAUUUUAAUUAUUAAAAUUUUAAUUUAAAAUAUUUUAUUUUUAAAUCUUUAUAAUUAUAGGGAUAAUCUUGUAAUUAAAUUAAUAUAAUUAUUGAUUUUUUAUAAAUUUAUAGAAUUAAUAAUUUUCAAUUGUUUGUUAAAAUUAAUUUAUUUAAAUUAAUAAUUUUCUUAUAUUUAUUUUAUUUAUUUUAUUUUUUUAAUUAAUUUUAAUUUAAAAUUAAUAAUGAUAUAAUUAGUAAUUAUUUAAAUAUGAUAUUUAUAAAAUUUUAAUUUAUAAUAAGGAAUUCGGCAAUUAAAUUUUCGCCUGUUUAUUAAAAACAUGUCUUUUUGAUUUUAAUUUAAAGUCGGACCUGCCCAAUGAUAAUUUAAUGGCCGCAGUAUUUUGACUGUGCAAAGGUAGCAUAAUCAUUAGUUUUUUAAUUGUAAACUGGAAUGAAUGGUUUAACGAAAAAUUUUCUGUCUCUUUAUAAUAAAAUGAACUUUAUUUUUUAGUUAAAAAGCUAAAAUUUAAUUAAAAGACGAGAAGACCCUAUAGAGUUUUAUAUAAUUAAAUAUUGAAUUUUAAUUUUAUGUUAAGUUAUAUUUUAUUGGGGUGAUAAGAAAAUUUAAUUAACUUUUCUUUUUUUAUACAUAGAUAUAUGAAUUUAUGAUCCUUAAAUUAAGAUUAAAAGAAUAAAUUACCUUAGGGAUAACAGCGUAAUUUAUUUUAAGAGUUCUAAUCGAAAAAUAUAUUUGCGACCUCGAUGUUGGAUUAAAAUUUAACUAUAAUGCAAGGGUUAUAGUAUUAGGUCUGUUCGACCUUUAAAAUUUUACAUGAUCUGAGUUUAAACCGGUGUAAGCCAGGUUGGUUUCUAUCUUUAAUAUAAAAUUUUAAUUUAGUACGAAAGGACCAAUUAAUUAUUAAAUUAAUUUAUUUUGGAAUACAAAUAAU